Molecule: ribosomal RNA, 253 nt
Filed under: uncultured bacterium
Lineage: Bacteria
Description: partial 16S ribosomal RNA
Rfam family: Bacterial small subunit ribosomal RNA
Source: RNAcentral
UACGUAGGGACCGAGCGUUGUCCGGAAUCAUUGGGCGUAAAGAGCGUGUAGGCGGCCACUUAAGUCCUGCGUGAAAUCUUGCGGCUCAACCGCAAGCGGUCGUGGGAAACUGGGUGGCUAGAGUGCGGGAGAGGAGAGUGGAAUUCCUGGUGUAGCGGUGGAAUGCGCAGAUAUCAGGAGGAACACCGGUGGCGAAGGCGGAUCUCUGGGCCUUGCCUGACGCUGAGGCGCGAAAGCUAGGGGAGCGAACAGG